GGGUACUGCUAUCAGAUUUCGAUUAAGCCAUGCAAGUUUGCUCACUCACUUGGGUGGGCGGCAUACGGCUGAGUAACACGUGGUCAAUCUGCCCUUAGGACGUGAAUAACCUCGGGAAACUGAGGCUAAAACGCGAUAGAUGCCUUAUGCUGGAAUGCUUAGGCAUUUAAAUGGCUGGUGAAUUGGAGCCAGUCCGCCUUAGGAUGAGACUGCGCCGGAUUAUGGUAGUUGGUGAGGUAAUGGCUCACCAAGCCGAUAAUCUGUAGGGGCCAUGGGAGUGGUGGCCCCCAGAAGGGUACUGAGACAAGGACCCUAGUCCUACGGGAUGCAGCAGGCGCGAAACCUCUACAAUGCGCGUAAGCGUGAUAGGGGAAAUCUGAGUGGCGACAACUAAGUUGUCGUCUUUUGCCAAGUGUAAACAGCUUGGAGAAUAAGGGUGUGGGCAAACACACCUUUAUGGCUAGAACAGUCAUUGGGUAUGGCCUAUGACUGGUGGCAGCCGCCGCGGUAACACCAGCGCCUCGAGUGGUACCCACGAAUAUUGGGCCUAGAGUGUCCGUAGCCGGACUACUAAGUCCGCUGUGAAAUGUUGGGGCUCAACCUCAACGCGUGCAGUGGAUACUGGUAAGUCUUGGGAACGGGGGAGGGUCGGAGUACUUCCAGGGUAGGGGUAAAAUCCGUUGAGCCUGGAAGGACUACCAGUGGCGAAGGCGCCGAUCCAAAACGUAUCCGACGGUGAGGGACGAAAGCUGGGGGAGCGAACGGGAUUAGAUACCCCGGUAGUCCCAGCUGUAAAUGAUGCAGACUGUGGUGUUACAUAUGAGUAAUCAUAUGUAGUGCUGUAGCGUAGGUGUUAAGUCUGCCGCCUGGGGAGUACAAUCGCAAGAUUGAAACUUAAAGGAAUUGGCGGGGGAGCACCACAAGCCGUGGAUGCUACGGUUU
Molecule: ribosomal RNA, 942 nt
Filed under: uncultured euryarchaeote
Lineage: Archaea; Methanobacteriati; Methanobacteriota
Description: bacterial SSU rRNA
Rfam family: Archaeal small subunit ribosomal RNA
Source: RNAcentral